UACGAAGGGUGCAAGCGUUAAUCGGAAUUACUGGGCGUAAAGCGCGCGUAGGUGGUUCAAUAAGUUGGAAGUGAAAUCCCCGGGCUCAACCUGGGAACUGCUUUCAAAACUGCUGAGCUAGAGUACGGUAGAGGGUGGUGGAAUUUCCUGUGUAGCGGUGAAAUGCGUAGAUAUAGGAAGGAACACCAGUGGCGAAGGCGACCACCUGGACUGAUACUGACACUGAGGUGCGAAAGCGUGGGGAGCAAACAGG
RNAcentral lists this ribosomal RNA (253 nucleotides) under uncultured bacterium. RNAcentral describes it as "partial 16S ribosomal RNA". It matches the Rfam family "Bacterial small subunit ribosomal RNA", at positions 524 to 776 of the family's 1533-position model. The record is from RNAcentral.